This 81-nucleotide transfer RNA is filed under the name bacterium. Its description in RNAcentral is "tRNA-Leu". It matches the Rfam family "tRNA". From Rfam's summary of the family: Transfer RNA (tRNA) molecules are approximately 80 nucleotides in length. Their secondary structure includes four short double-helical elements and three loops (D, anti-codon, and T loops). Further hydrogen bonds mediate the characteristic L-shaped molecular structure. tRNAs have two regions of fundamental functional importance: the anti-codon, which is responsible for specific mRNA codon recognition, and the 3' end, to which the tRNAs corresponding amino acid is attached (by aminoacyl-tRNA synthetases). tRNAs cope with the degeneracy of the genetic code in two manners: having more than one tRNA (with a specific anti-codon) for a particular amino acid; and 'wobble' base-pairing, i.e. permitting non-standard base-pairing at the 3rd anti-codon position. The record is from RNAcentral.
ACAGGGAUGUCCGAGUGGUUAAGGAGGCGGCCUUAAGAUCCGCUGUAGAAAUACGCGUGGGUUCAAACCCCACUCCCUGUA